UACGAAGGGGGCUAGCGUUGCUCGGAAUCACUGGGCGUAAAGCGCACGUAGGCGGCUUGUUAAGUCAGGGGUGAAAUCCUGGAGCUCAACUCCAGAACUGCCUUUGAUACUGGCGAGCUUGAGUUCGGGAGAGGUGAGUGGAACUGCGAGUGUAGAGGUGAAAUUCGUAGAUAUUCGCAAGAACACCAAUGGCGAAGGCGGCUCACUGGCCCGAUACUGACGCUGAGGUGCGAAAGCGUGGGGAGCAAACAGG
Molecule: ribosomal RNA, 253 nt
Filed under: uncultured bacterium
Lineage: Bacteria
Description: partial 16S ribosomal RNA
Rfam family: Bacterial small subunit ribosomal RNA
Source: RNAcentral